This 462-nucleotide ribosomal RNA is filed under the name Botryozyma nematodophila. RNAcentral describes it as "SSU rRNA". It matches the Rfam family "Bacterial small subunit ribosomal RNA", at positions 505 to 950 of the family's 1533-position model. The record is from RNAcentral. Lineage: Eukaryota; Fungi; Ascomycota; Trigonopsidomycetes; Trigonopsidales; Trigonopsidaceae.
GUGCCAGCAGUCGCGGUAAUACAUUGAGAGCUAAUAUUAUCCAGAAUAAUUGGGUUAAAAGCGUAAAAAGUGUAGGGUUAAAAUUAUACUUAGUGCCUUAAACUUAAUAGUCUUUCAAGAAUAUUAAGUUAAGUAUCUAAGAACCUAGAGAGUUAAUAGCGGGAAUAUAAAUUCUAUUUAGAGCUUAAAUGCAGUGAUAUAGAAAAGAAUAUCAGAGAUGAAGAUGAUUCCCAUGUUAACUCUGACUCACUAUUACUAAAGCUCAGAAAGUAAAAUAGAUUAGAUACCUAUGUAGCCUGAGCCGGCAACGAUGAAUGCUAAUAUAGUAUAAUAAAACAUAUCUUUAGUUAAUAUGCUAUAUAAAGUGAUAACCAAGCAUUUCACCUGAGGAGUACCUUUGCAAAAUUGAAAUUCAAGACAUUUGGUAGUAUUCUAAACUCACACUGAAGUAUGUUAUUUAAU